RNAcentral lists this ribosomal RNA (253 nucleotides) under uncultured bacterium. RNAcentral describes it as "partial 16S ribosomal RNA". It matches the Rfam family "Bacterial small subunit ribosomal RNA", at positions 524 to 776 of the family's 1533-position model. The record is from RNAcentral.
UACGUAGGGGGCAAGCGUUGUCCGGAAUCAUUGGGCGUAAAGAGCGCGUAGGCGGUCCGAUAAGUCGGUUGUGAAAACUGGGGGCUCAACCCUCAGAGGCCGACCGAUACUGUCGGGCUAGAGUCCGGAAGAGGCGAGUGGAAUUCCUGGCGUAGCGGUGAAAUGCGCAGAUAUCAGGAGGAACACCGAUGGCGAAGGCAGCUCACUGGGACGGUACUGACGCUGAGACGCGAAAGCGUGGGGAGCAAACAGG